AAAACUAUCCAGAGGGCAGGGCGUGGUGGCUCAUGCCUAUAAUCAAGUCAGGCUCCACCAGGGGAAUCAAGGCAAACAGGUUGCUGUUUUUAUUGUGUUUGCAUGUGUCUCAGGCCUGUAAUAGCUCCCGAAGGGAAACUAGAGACUAAAGCUGGACAACCUCCCGCCGCAAAAGCUGGUGGAAUGCGGAUUGUGCAGAAAUACCCACACACUGGCAACACCAAAGCAGAGAAAGUCAAGGAUGACCAAGAAAGGAAAAGCCCCAGUCCACCUAAGCUGACUGUGUUCAUCUCUGGAGUUAUUGCCUGGGGUGACAAAGACUUCCCCCUGGCGGCCGCGCAGGUGGCUCACCAAAAGCCCCAUGCCCCCAUGGACAAGCAUCCUUCCCCGGGUACUCAGCACAUCCAGCCACCAAACAAGUGAGCCAGGCUAGAACUGCCUGCCCCAGCAGGGCCCAGCAGCUGCAUCAAAUUUGUCCCCGACAAAGAGACUUGCCACUUUCCUCAA
RNA transcript from Carlito syrichta (Philippine tarsier), 507 nucleotides. It is a transcript of the gene named death-associated protein 1 pseudogene, with no coding region annotated. NCBI's taxonomy places the organism in Eukaryota, Metazoa, Chordata, Mammalia, Primates, Tarsiidae. The record is from RefSeq and is a predicted model, not a curated record. The transcript has a single exon.